UCACUACCAUGAUGAUCUUCCAGCGUUUGCAGUUUGCACCGGAAGGGUUUUCCUCCUUACUGGGUAAGCCUUCUUUGGAUGUCUGCGUGA
Molecule: small nucleolar RNA, 90 nt
Filed under: Castor canadensis (American beaver)
Lineage: Eukaryota; Metazoa; Chordata; Mammalia; Rodentia; Castoridae
Description: Small nucleolar RNA SNORD14 (ENSCCNG00000023077.1)
Source: RNAcentral